AGUCAGAGCCCGUUAAUGGGUGAUGGCGUGCCUUUUGUAGAAUGAACCGGCGAGUUACGAUUUGAUGCAAGGUUAAGCAGUAAAUGUGGAGCCGUAGCGAAAGCGAGUCUGAAUAGGGCGUUUAGUAUUUGGUCGUAGACCCGAAACCAGGUGAUCUACCCUUGGUCAGGUUGAAGUUCAGGUAACACUGAAUGGAGGACCGAACCGACUUACGUUGAAAAGUGAGCGGAUGAACUGAGGGUAGCGGAGAAAUUCCAAUCGAACCUGGAGAUAGCUGGUUCUCUCCGAAAUAGCUUUAGGGCUAGCCUCAAGUGAUGAUUAUUGGAGGUAGAGCACUGUUUGGACGAGGGGCCCCUCUCGGGUUACCGAAUUCAGACAAACUCCGAAUGCCAAUUAAUUUAACUUGGGAGUCAGAACAUGGGUGAUAAGGUCCGUGUUCGAAAGGGAAACAGCCCAGACCACCAGCUAAGGUCCCAAAAUAUAUGUUAAGUGGAAAAGGAUGUGGCGUUGCCCAGACAACUAGGAUGUUGGCUUAGAAGCAGCCAUCAUUUAAAGAGUGCGUAAUAGCUCACUAGUCGAGUGACACUGCGCCGAAAAUGUACCGGGGCUAAACAUAUUACCGAAGCUGUGGAUUGUCCUUUGGACAAUGGUAGGAGAGCGUUCUAAGGGCGUUGAAGCAUGAUCGUAAGGACAUGUGGAGCGCUUAGAAGUGAGAAUGCCGGUGUGAGUAGCGAAAGACGGGUGAGAAUCCCGUCCACCGAUUGACUAAGGUUUCCAGAGGAAGGCUCGUCCGCUCUGGGUUAGUCGGGUCCUAAGCUGAGGCCGACAGGCGUAGGCGAUGGAUAACAGGUUGAUAUUCCUGUACCACCUAUAAUCGUUUUAAUCGAUGGGGGGACGCAGUAGGAUAGGCGAAGCGUGCGAUUGGAUUGCACGUCUAAGCAGUAAGGCUGAGUAUUAGGCAAAUCCGGUACUCGUUAAGGCUGAGCUGUGAUGGGGAGAAGACAUUGUGUCUUCGAGUCGUUGAUUUCACACUGCCGAGAAAAGCCUCUAGAUAGAAAAUAGGUGCCCGUACCGCAAACCGACACAGGUAGUCAAGAUGAGAAUUCUAAGGUGAGCGAGCGAACUCUCGUUAAGGAACUCGGCAAAAUGACCCCGUAACUUCGGGAGAAGGGGUGCUCUUUAGGGUUAACGCCCAGAAGAGCCGCAGUGAAUAGGCCCAAGCGACUGUUUAUCAAAAACACAGGUCUCUGCUAAACCGUAAGGUGAUGUAUAGGGGCUGACGCCUGCCCGGUGCUGGAAGGUUAAGAGGAGUGGUUAGCUUCUGCGAAGCUACGAAUCGAAGCCCCAGUAAACGGCGGCCGUAACUAUAACGGUCCUAAGGUAGCGAAAUUCCUUGUCGGGUAAGUUCCGACCCGCACGAAAGGCGUAACGAUUUGGGCACUGUCUCAACGAGAGACUCGGUGAAAUCAUAGUACCUGUGAAGAUGCAGGUUACCCGCGACAGGACGGAAAGACCCCGUGGAGCUUUACUGUAGCCUGAUAUUGAAAUUCGGCACAGCUUGUACAGGAUAGGUAGGAGCCUUUGAAACGUGAGCGCUAGCUUACGUGGAGGCGCUGGUGGG
This 1621-nucleotide ribosomal RNA is filed under the name Staphylococcus aureus. RNAcentral's name for it is "partial 23S ribosomal RNA". It matches the Rfam family "Bacterial large subunit ribosomal RNA", at positions 572 to 2196 of the family's 2925-position model. The record is from RNAcentral. Lineage: Bacteria; Bacillati; Bacillota; Bacilli; Caryophanales; Staphylococcaceae.